GACGAACGCUGGCGGCGUACUCAACACAUGCAAGUCGAACGGAAAGGCCCUGCUUUUGUGGGGUGCUCGAGUGGCGAACGGGUGAGUAACACGUGAGUAACCUGCCCUUGACUUUGGGAUAACUUCAGGAAACUGGGGCUAAUACCGGAUAGGAGCUCCUGCUGCAUGGUGGGGGUUGGAAAGUUUCGGCGGUUGGGGAUGGACUCGCGGCUUAUCAGCUUGUUGGUGGGGUAGUGGCUUACCAAGGCUUUGACGGGUAGCCGGCCUGAGAGGGUGACCGGCCACAUUGGGACUGAGAUACGGCCCAGACUCCUACGGGAGGCAGCAGUGGGGAAUAUUGCACAAUGGGCGGAAGCCUGAUGCAGCAACGCCGCGUGCGGGAUGACGGCCUUCGGGUUGUAAACCGCUUUCGCCUGUGACGAAGCGUGAGUGACGGUAAUGGGUAAAGAAGCACCGGCUAACUACGUG
Molecule: ribosomal RNA, 468 nt
Filed under: uncultured bacterium
Lineage: Bacteria
Description: partial 16S ribosomal RNA
Rfam family: Bacterial small subunit ribosomal RNA
Source: RNAcentral